AUUGAACGCUGGCGGCAGGCCUAACACAUGCAAGUCGAGCGGUAACAGAACUAGCUUGCUAGUUGCUGACGAGCGGCGGACGGGUGCGUAACACGUAGGAAUCUGCCCGGUAGUGGGGGAUAGCCCGGAGAAAUCCGGAUUAAUACCGCAUACGUCCUACUCUUUUUCGGAAGAGGGGGGAAAGCAGGGGAUCUUCGGACCUUGUGCUAUCGGAUGAGCCUGCGUCGGAUUAGCUGGUUGGUGGGGUAAAGGCCUACCAAGGCGACGAUCCGUA
This 274-nucleotide ribosomal RNA is filed under the name uncultured bacterium. RNAcentral's name for it is "partial 16S ribosomal RNA". It matches the Rfam family "Bacterial small subunit ribosomal RNA", at positions 30 to 285 of the family's 1533-position model. The record is from RNAcentral.